CGAGCGGGACAAGAUGAUCGCGCCGUGGUGCCCUCGGGCACCCACGUCGAGGAAAGUCCGGGCUCCACAGGGCAGGGUGCUGGUUCGACGCCAGUCGGGGUGACCCGAAGGAAAGUGCCACAGAGAACAGACCGCCCGCGUCCGCGCGGGUAAGGGUGAAACGGUGUGGUAAGAGCACACCGGGUCCUCGGCGACGAGGACCGCAUGGUAAACCCCAUCCGGAGCAAGGCCGAACAGGGGCAGGCGGUGUCCGCGAGGAUUCCGCCAGGGGCUGCCCGUCCCGUCCCGGGUGCGCCGCACGAGAGGAAUGAUCAUCACCCGCAUGCGAGCAAUCGCGGCGGGGACAGAACCCGGCUUACGACCCGUCUCGACCG
This 374-nucleotide RNase P RNA is filed under the name Deltaproteobacteria bacterium. Its description in RNAcentral is "RNase P RNA component class A". It matches the Rfam family "Bacterial RNase P class A". From Rfam's summary of the family: Ribonuclease P (RNase P) is a ubiquitous endoribonuclease, found in archaea, bacteria and eukarya as well as chloroplasts and mitochondria. Its best characterised activity is the generation of mature 5'-ends of tRNAs by cleaving the 5'-leader elements of precursor-tRNAs. Lineage: Bacteria; Pseudomonadati; Myxococcota; Myxococcia. The record is from RNAcentral. RNAcentral also lists the same sequence under 1 other name.